GGCCGGGUGGCCUAGUGGUCAGAGCGUUAGUCGCGUAUGCUGAAGACGCGGGUUUGAUUCCCGCCUCGGCCA
Cydia pomonella (codling moth) is the source of this 72-nucleotide non-coding RNA. The record is from the annotation of a RefSeq genome assembly. Lineage: Eukaryota; Metazoa; Arthropoda; Insecta; Lepidoptera; Tortricidae.